AAGAUUCAGAUUCAGCAUUCUCCGUUGGUAUUCGAGGUGCACUUCAAAGAUUCUUAACUACUUUGAUCAUUUUUGCGCAAUUGAUGACAGAGGGUGUAAAGAUUCUAAAAUACUAUAAUUUUUACAAAAUUGACAUCUAAGGGUGUGUCUGAUAUGGAAUGCAAAGAGCGUUGUUUUGCUGAUAUUUUUAAUUAAUUGUAACAAAGUUGGACAUAAGUUGAUCAAAGUAUAGUGAUAUGGAGUUUAGACUAUAUAAAAUUUUCUCUGUAGUGUAAUGUUAGAUAUUGGUAUUGGUCUAUUGGAUAGUACUUCAACUUCCUCUUACUUUUUAGUUUCAUUAUGAAGUACAAGAAUGUUAUUUUACUGAUAUUUAAAAUGGUAACAAUGUUUGACGACUCUAUCUAUAAAAGUUGAUUAUAGUGUAGGGAUAUGGAGCUUAGACUUGAUUAAAAGAACAUUCCUUAAUGAGAAAUUGAUAAACAAAAAUAAAUAUUAAGUUUCAUAGCAGUUAUAGUUUACUAACUCGGGAAUGAGUGAGUUCAAUAAAAACUUAUCUUUAAAUAUUUUUUUGUCGUUUUUCUUUGUAGACAUUGAUUCUCCUAUUGUUUACAUACAAACCCGAUUCUCUUCUUUUCGCCAAUUACCACCUCUGCAUCUAUUUUAGUAACCCUAUUCAGAGAACGAAGCGAAAUAUUAAAUUUCAAGUCACUUUUUUUGUUUUAUAUCUUCGGUCAACGGAGGUUUGUAAAUCAGUGUUGCGUUGCGGUAAAGAGAUGUAAACAAUCGGAUCUAUGUUGUUGCUCCAACUUCACAGUUUAUUUGAGUUUGUUUUUAUUGCUAUGGCUAAUAGCUAUUCAAUUUGGAAUUGUUCUCAUACUAUUACGCUCAACUUGACAAAUAGAAGCUUUCACCACUUUCAUUAAUCACUGUUUAAUAUGAAUACAAACUAAAUUGGCAGCAACCGUCUGGAAGCCCUUUGCUUAGUCUAAUAGUGUUUUUAAAGUGUGCAGCUUAGUUCAAGAAUAUUACAGAUCAACAUUUGCUAAGUGAGGAUCCCCUUUAGUUACAUUCACUAUUUUCUUAAUGAUUGAGAUUAUAUUUUUUGCGUGUUUCAUUUAUACAUUGAAAUUUAUCAUAGUGUAGCUUGUGUUUUUUUUAUCUACCAAAAUCUUUGAGACAUCUUUGACAAAAUUCUAUUUGCUACUUAAUGAAAGAAAUGAUAGCAUUUUGUCUAUACCUCUGGAAAGAUAAAAACUAACAAUUUAUAAAAUGACAAUGUUGUUUAUGUUGCGUUGUUUGGUAAUAUAGUAUUCUUUCUGUUUCCUCAAGUGUAGGAAAAUAUUUGGCAGCAACAGGCUUCAGCACAUCUCAUCAAGAAAUACAAAGAGUGGUAGAUAUAUGCUUACGGGCGCAUUGUGUUACCCCUGAAAUGGGAACAAAGGUGGAGCUUCACAGAAUUUGGGGCUAGCAAGAUCCACAAAUGUCAACCGCAUAUAGUUGCAAAAUCAUAUAAUUACAGUUUUGGUUGCUUCUUUUCUUCAAAGUUUAUUUUAUUAAUUGUGUGAUGACCCGAUAGGUCAUCUUACGUUUUAGAAUCAAACUCUGUAUUUCGAAACCUUUAGAACCUUAUUCUAGCCUUCUUCGAUUUGCG
Molecule: long non-coding RNA, 1651 nt
Filed under: Nicotiana tabacum (common tobacco)
Lineage: Eukaryota; Viridiplantae; Streptophyta; Magnoliopsida; Solanales; Solanaceae
Description: long non-coding RNA (NTAB_LNC015287)
Source: RNAcentral